GAUGAACGCUGGCGGCGUGCCUAAUACAUGCAAGUCGAGCGAACAGACGAGGAGCUUGCUCCUCUGACGUUAGCGGCGGACGGGUGAGUAACACGUGGAUAACCUACCUAUAAGACUGGGAUAACUUCGGGAAACCGGAGCUAAUACCGGAUAAUAUAUUGAACCGCAUGGUUCAAUAGUGAAAGACGGUUUUGCUGUCACUUAUAGAUGGAUCCGCGCCGCAUUAGCUAGUUGGUAAGGUAACGGCUUACCAAGGCAACGAUGCGUAGCCGACCUGAGAGGGUGACCGCCCACAGGAGAACGAGACCAGGGACAAGCGUCCGAGGGGAGGCAGAGGGGGGGAUCCUUCCGCAUGGGGGAAAGGCCGGACGGAGCACCCCGGGGGGAGUGAUAAGGGUCUUGGGAUCGAAAAACUGUUUUAUGGGGGAAAAAAAAAUGGGAAAGAAAUUAUCCCCUUUUGGACGGUACUUAAUAAGAAGCCCACGGCAAACUCCGGC
RNAcentral lists this ribosomal RNA (497 nucleotides) under uncultured bacterium. RNAcentral describes it as "partial 16S ribosomal RNA". It matches the Rfam family "Bacterial small subunit ribosomal RNA", at positions 28 to 508 of the family's 1533-position model. The record is from RNAcentral.